RNAcentral lists this unclassified non-coding RNA (158 nucleotides) under Rubrimonas cliftonensis. Its description in RNAcentral is "6S / SsrS RNA". The record is from RNAcentral. Lineage: Bacteria; Pseudomonadati; Pseudomonadota; Alphaproteobacteria; Rhodobacterales; Paracoccaceae.
CGGGUUCUGUCCUUCUCGUGCGCGGUUUGAAUCCCGGUGGCCUUAAACAUACUCGCGGGAGCUGGCUCUGCGACUGGCCCUGGCCUAUCGCACCUGGCGCCCACCUGGAUCUCCAGGCUCGCGAGGAUCAACGCCGCCACGGUCGCGACGGGCCCGCC